This 326-nucleotide long non-coding RNA is filed under the name Solanum tuberosum (potato). RNAcentral describes it as "long non-coding RNA (STUB_LNC010481)". The record is from RNAcentral. Lineage: Eukaryota; Viridiplantae; Streptophyta; Magnoliopsida; Solanales; Solanaceae.
CCAGUGUAAAACUAAAUAAUGCAUGAGUAAUGUUUGAUUCUUGCACUCUAGACAAAUGGUCAAUCCCUUCCACACUCUCGUAUCUCAAUCAGUUGGGAUAAUCAUAGGUAAAUUGUGACAAUCUUUUCGUGUCCUAUAGGUAAAUUGUGACAAUCAGUUGGGAUAAUCAUAGGUAAAUUGCGACAAUCAGUUGGGAUAAUCAUAGGUAAAUUGUGACAAUCAGUUACGAUAAUCAUAGGCUGCCACCUCUGAUGCACCAGCCAACAAUCAGUUGGGACAAUCAUAGGUAAAUUGUGACAAUCAGUUGGGAUUAUCAUAGGUAAAUU